AAUAAAACAUUUUAAACAUCAAGUAAAGGCGAUUAAAAAAUGUCUUUAAGCUAUAGAAUUAGUA
This 64-nucleotide transfer RNA is filed under the name Microhyla fodiens. Its description in RNAcentral is "tRNA-Val". Lineage: Eukaryota; Metazoa; Chordata; Amphibia; Anura; Microhylidae. The record is from RNAcentral.